AGUGAACGCUGGCGGUAGGCCUAACACAUGCAAGUCGAACGGCAGCACAGUAAGAGCUUGCUCUUACGGGUGGCGAGUGGCGGACGGGUGAGGAAUACAUCGGAAUCUACUUUUUCGUGGGGGAUAACGUAGGGACACUUACGCUAAUACCGCAUACGACCUACGGGUGAAAGCAGGGGAUCUUCGGACCUUGCGCGAUUGAAUGAGCCGAUGUCGGAUUAGCUAGUUGGCGGGGUAAAGGCCCACCAAGGCGACGAUCCGUAGCUGGUCUGAGAGGAUGAUCAGCCACACUGGAACUGAGACACGGUCCAGACUCCUACGGGAGGCAGCAGUGGGGAAUAUUGGACAAUGGGCGCAAGCCUGAUCCAGCCAUACCGCGUGGGUGAAGAAGGCCUUCGGGUUGUAAAGCCCUUUUGUUGGGAAAGAAAAGCAGCAGGUUAAUACCCCGCUGUUCUGACGUUACCCAAAGAAUAAGCACCGGCUAACUUCGUG
Molecule: ribosomal RNA, 492 nt
Filed under: uncultured bacterium
Lineage: Bacteria
Description: partial 16S ribosomal RNA
Rfam family: Bacterial small subunit ribosomal RNA
Source: RNAcentral